This 73-nucleotide transfer RNA is filed under the name Bacillus cereus. Its description in RNAcentral is "tRNA-Val". It matches the Rfam family "tRNA". Rfam says of the family: Transfer RNA (tRNA) molecules are approximately 80 nucleotides in length. Their secondary structure includes four short double-helical elements and three loops (D, anti-codon, and T loops). Further hydrogen bonds mediate the characteristic L-shaped molecular structure. tRNAs have two regions of fundamental functional importance: the anti-codon, which is responsible for specific mRNA codon recognition, and the 3' end, to which the tRNAs corresponding amino acid is attached (by aminoacyl-tRNA synthetases). tRNAs cope with the degeneracy of the genetic code in two manners: having more than one tRNA (with a specific anti-codon) for a particular amino acid; and 'wobble' base-pairing, i.e. permitting non-standard base-pairing at the 3rd anti-codon position. Lineage: Bacteria; Bacillati; Bacillota; Bacilli; Caryophanales; Bacillaceae. RNAcentral also lists the same sequence under 1 other name. The record is from RNAcentral.
UAUCCCGUAGCUAAGUAGUGAGAGCGCCACCUUGACAAGGGGGCGGGCGCUGGUUCGAGACCAGCCGGAAUCA